ACCAACAACAUGUCUCCUUUUCCCAUUCCUUGGAAUGGACUGAACUAGUGUCCUGUGGUUUUAAAUGUUUCCUGCUGCUGCUGCUGCUGCUGCUUGUUCUAGGGGAACAAACACUUCGUGCUGGACUGUACUUGACAGCAGAUGAUGAUGAGCUAUGGGCAGAAACCGUUUGUUUGUGUGUGCGCGUGUGUGCUAGUGUUGUUCAGUUGUAUCAUACCUGCAGAGUCCCUGCUAAGAGAAACCGCUGCCUUGGGUUGGUGCAUCCUCGGAGCAUGCACAGAAAGCCCCUUGGCCCUCCUGCCUGGAAGAGGCCACAUGACUCCUUGGGGUCCUCUAGUCUGUUUGGCUAUCCCUGAAGCCAAAUGUGUCUGGCUGCCUCUGCACAUUCCACUUGGACUUCCCCUUCUUUCUUACCUUUAUUAGUUCAUUUAGUUCCUUCAGUUAGUUCUACGCCUUCUUAGCAUGGCACCCACAGCCUUGUGUUGGUGCUAUGUUUCAGACUUAUCAUUGGAAGGAACAGGGCGUUGCUUUCUUUUUUGGAUCCGCUCUUAUGAAGGGGAUGUGAAUUUUAAAAACUGCUGUGCAAUGACCUCAUUUUUGUAAACAUUGAGUAAGCUAUUAUUUAAAAUAGCCUAGGUUUAGAUCAUUGUUUUUCCAGAGGCAGCUAAAAUGCUCUGUAAUGUAAUAAUUCCUAUUUUCAUUUUAGCAAAUUCCCAAUAGCAGUAAAAAAAAUAUGAAUAUGACCUCAUUUGAUUUCAGUUCUGCUGUGCUCUAGAAUAUUCUCAAAUUUUUAUGGAAGGUUUGUUUUUAAUCUGUUAUAAGUGUCUUAGUUCAACUGCUGUGUGUGCAGAGAAGAAUCCAAGGGACGCAUUUGUUGUAUUUAAGUCCUGUUGAAACACAGAUGAGCCAUGAUUUCAUAUUUCAAAGGGACUCAAAUGCCAUUCACCUCUCAUGGAUGGUCGGGGAAAAUAUAUGAAUAACAGGAAGGAAAAUGGCUGAAAUGUUUUGGCAUUUCACUACUGGAAACAGUAGUGAAAUAUAUGCGUGGGCUUCUGAAAAUUGAGACUUAUAAAACCCUAAAUAUAUUUUUAGUGGUGAUGCUGUUUUAGAUUGCACGUUGUUUAAUUUCUCCUUAAGUUAAAUUAAAUUUUGGAUAUUUCUGUCUCCUCUGCACACCCCAGGAGGGAAUUUAAAGCAUACAUGUAAAAGUGACAUGGAUGGUGAUUAAACUGUAGGCUUUUCUGCUCAGCCCAUUGUUCCAUUUUGGACUUCCUAUGCUCUUCAAGGCUUGGCAGUUCAUUCAGCAUAGCUGUGGGGGAGGCGAGGAGAAGAGCCUGCAAUGGAAUCAACACAGCUAAGUGAUUGCAUCUUUAUAUAGGAAGAUAAUUAACCUGUAAUAGAGUCAGGAACUUGAAACCAUUAUAAGGAAAUUAGGUAAGUAAUUUCCUUGGUAGUUUUUGCAAGCACAAAAAGACAUUCUAAGAAUCACAAGAACUUCAGAAGACGUUGGAAGUAUGUUGAAAUAAUAAUAUUAUAUAUUUUUAUCUAGUGUUUGUUUGGGCACGAGAAUGAAUGAAUGAAUGAGUGAGUGAGGUGGUCUUGCACUCUGACCACCUUUAAUGCUUUAUCACUGGAAGGAAAUUUGUUGUGGUUUCUGGUGUAUGAUCAACCAGACGGUCACCCAUCCAGUUUGAAUGACAUAAAACUGGUCACCAGUACUUGACAAUCGUUGAGCUGUGACUGUGUGCAGAGGAGGGGACUGCCCUUGGGGCAAUGCUAUGGGCCUCCAUACUUCCAACAUAGGGAGGGAGAAUAGGGACAGCUCACACUGUGCACCAUGUUGAUCUGUUGUGUGAAAAACUCUUUGUCUCCCAAUAAUCCCUGUGCAUGCACUGAACUGCAGUUUGAGUCCUCUGUCUCCAACCCACCCAUCCCCACACCACCACCUGUCUCUUUCUCAGGUUGUUGAGACAAGAGACACAAAUAUCCUGGGAGCUUUUUAAAAGGACCCUUUAAGGGAAGGUAGAAUCGGGUGCUCACCCACCCAAAGGGUGCUCCGACUCUGCUUAUUUUCUUUUUUUAUAUCUUCUUAUUUUUUAAAAGAUUGUGUGCAUGUGCAAAGCUGCUCUAAAUCUUAAGCUGUUGCAAAAGCACUAUUCUGACCAUGUACCAAGUGGGUGUAAAAAGGAAUCUUGUAGUUUUGGCAGGGAUGCAACACACUGAGUUUGCUGCAGAGGUGAGUUUUGGAAAUCGUAGUGUUACAUUUCAAAUUUACAUUUCAAAUUGCAGUGUUAAAUUUGAACUGUCCUGUGUGUGGAAUCUGUGAAAUAUGUCCUGUUUGCACCUGGUGCUAGAAAGAGUAAGAUCACAUCCUGCAAAGAACAGCACUUGAAUUAGGAUCUGGGCCAUUGGUUGCUACCAAACUGCCUCAUGAAAGGUUUUUAUGGGGUGGGAGACUGGUGUGUUCUGCUCUCUCGACUGGCUCCUAGUGAUGUGUUCAGUAUCCGUGAGUGUACACAGUUUGCAAUCUAUAUCCCCCCCCCCCGAGCAACACAAUCUUGUUGGAGCCAUUUUUGAAGGUAUCUACCAUCUUGGAGCUAUGGUGUAUUCAUACUCUUCAAUAAAAAUGUAGGAAGACUGUGCUGUAGACACUAAGGACUUACAGUUGUUUUUAAACAGCAGAGGACCAGUUGACAGUAAUAUAUUUUUAAAAAAUAUUGAAGGUAUAUUAUUAACCUAAUUAAUAUAAUUUUGAGUAAUGGGAGGAAAUUAGUCUAUAUAUAUUGAUAAUAUAUGUAUAUCCAAAACAUCUCCUGUGAUUCAUAAUGGUUUCCCUUUCUGUGUUGCCUGCUGAUACAAUAUUCCAUGAUGUAAAUAUUAUAUGGGCUAAGCAUGGAGAAUGGAGAAUGUUAAUACAUUUGUUAAAUCAAUUUUUAAUAUUUUUGUGUUUUUGUUACUGUACCAGGUUACUUUUAUCUAAGGGAGUAUUUUAAAAAAAAAACAACACCUCAAGAAUUCUGUUUUCUCUGAGAGGCAUUUUUUGUUAUUUAUUAAGUCUGCACAUUUCUUUCAACUUAUUUAAUUCCUUGUACAAUUUCCUCUCCUUUUUGCCUGUGUGUUAUUUAAGUGACAGUUACUUGAGUUGGAAACAGCAUUAUUACAGUUUUCACAAAUUAAUUCUAGUAAUAAUAAGUUUGCCAUUUUGUCUCUAAUAAAAGAAACAGAGAAAAACA
Podarcis muralis (Common wall lizard) is the source of this 3233-nucleotide non-coding RNA. Lineage: Eukaryota; Metazoa; Chordata; Lepidosauria; Squamata; Lacertidae. The record is from RefSeq and is a predicted model, not a curated record.